UGGUUCGUUGGUGAAGUGAUGCGGUGACACUGUGCUUGGUGAGCGUCACACUCGUGUUUGCGUUGUGCACCCAGCAUGGAGUACUCCCGGGUUAGAGUGCAUGUAUUCGAGGAUAAUGUCCGCUUCUUCAUACUACGUGGAGGUUUGUAAUUUCAUCAACUCCGCAGGCGUCUCCAGCGCCUACACGAAGUGCACCUGAACGACCCUUCUAGGACCAAGACGCAGUUUCUGCUCUGUGGAUAUUCUGCAUGUGUCAGGAUAGGUAGCGGAAAGUAAACCUGGAACAGCUUCUUCCACCAAUGGUGGUCAGUGAUGGGCGGCGCCGAGGACACAUCCAAGGCAUCCAAGAUCCAGCCACGCAAGCGCUGCUUUUUUUUUUUUUUUUUCAAAAGUGGAAGAGCAAGUAGCACUUACCAUUGCAGAACUUGCGUGAACAAAUAGCUGCUGCACUUUGUGUAUUUUAUGCCCACACGGUGUUCGUCACAUCGCACAUGCAAGACCACAUGCACAUUCAGCGAAGGGAUGCCUUUAGUGUGCACCACAUGCCCGGCCGCAUUCAAGCAGAAGGCGCACUGUCAAGUGCUACGGCUGCACCUACAAGCACCGAUGUGAUCCUUGCCAGAAUCUUGUGCUGUGCAAUGUGUUUCUCUUCAAGUGUUGGCACCAUUUUUUGGGAGGGAAUCGGCAUGAAGGAGUGAUGUGUUGUGCGAUUUGAUUGCACAUGCAUUUUUAGGUUGAGUGCCAGCUCCAUUUUUCAUAAAUUGACAUCAGUGAGGGCACUGCCCAGUAGUGUGAAGCUAGUCGUACGAAUAUUGCAAGCUAUGUUGCAAAAGAUGUGAAACCUUGCAAAACUAUUUUCUUUUUCUCUUUUCUUAAAUCACAUUGCUCAAAGGUCUCUGUGUGUAUUCCUGAUUCACAUUGCUUUAGGAUUUGAGUGUCUGUCCCACAUUCAGAUUGCUUAAUGUCUAGUCAGCUUGUGCGAAUUUCUUUUUUUGUUGCAGCAUAAUCGUUGGUAUUGCCAAAUUUUUCUCUAUGUGAAACAACAUCUUGGCUUCCUAAAAACCGCUAAUGGAAUAUUCUACAAAGAACCUUGCUGAAGAAUUGAUAGUACUAUAAAGAAAAAUUUCUAUAUGGUGAACAAGUGUUGGUUAAUACGAUCAUAAAGCCACUUUCAUGUCUCGUUUCCUGGCACUGUUUUAAAUUUUGAAAUCAUGUACCAGCUAACCAGCAACAAAACUCUCCUAAAGUGGCUUUAGGACACACUUGUUUGAGUUCUGCAUGUGGGCUUCCCCACGCAUCUUGUUUGACCCAAUCACGAUGGCAGACAUUGAUCUAGAAAGAUAAAUAAGGUGAGAGCAUGCAUUGUAAUCUGGCUAUGCCUGCUGCGUUCCUCCUUGCACAAUCCAUGCCCUUGGAAAUCAUACUGUAAUGUCAACAUCGCUACUAGUUGGAGGACAGCCAUGUUGUCCAGGGGAAGUGAGAUGCGUAGGAAAGCCUUUAUGGAAUUUUGCCUAUCUUACAUUAUAGGUUGAUUAGCUUUUGAAGAAUAGAAAAUUUCUAUUGCUCACUCUUUAUGGUGUGCAGUUUUGUUGCAAAGCCUAGUGCAAAGGUCUAGCGUGAAUUUCCUUUAAUGUUGCGAGCAUGCUGCUUUCAUGUUGUGAAUGCUAUGCUACACUUGAACUUGCAUGGCAUUCCUGAUGAGAAAUUACUUCACACAAAGCUUUAGGGUGAGGAACUAACAAGACCGGCGAGAGUUAUUUUUCUGUGAAAAAAAUGACAAAUAGCAAUGACGCCCUAAAAGAUCGACAUGGUUUCAAGAGAGUAAAGGGAGGGAUGACAGGCACGGGUUUCAUUGAGGCAAGACAUGCUAUUGUGGAAGGAAGGUUGAAGACUUAAUGUUGAGAAGUAAUCCUCUGUAGAAACUGUUUCAUGCAGGAACCUUCGUACCAUUAUAUCAACACUGCAUGAAGUGCAUUGACUUUCCUAGCUCCAUUUUUUGUUUGCAUUGCUGCAGAUUGAGUAUGCCUCAUAUGUAGAUGGCUACUUAUUUGCUGCUUUAACUCACAUGUGGGGUUUUCACAUUUUUGCACAACUUAGCCAAAGCACCCUGUAUAAAACGCAGUUGACAGAAGUAAAAAACAAAUGUAUAUCGUAGAAAUAAACAAACAGUUUGAAAGAAUAA
Molecule: long non-coding RNA, 2182 nt
Filed under: Dermacentor andersoni
Lineage: Eukaryota; Metazoa; Arthropoda; Arachnida; Ixodida; Ixodidae
Description: uncharacterized LOC126528431
Source: RNAcentral